Molecule: ribosomal RNA, 852 nt
Filed under: uncultured Bacillota bacterium
Lineage: Bacteria; Bacillati; Bacillota
Description: bacterial SSU rRNA
Rfam family: Bacterial small subunit ribosomal RNA
Source: RNAcentral
CCGGAAUUAUUGGGCGUAAAGGGAGCGCAGGUGGGAAAGUAAGUCAGUCUUAAAAGUGCGGGGCUCAACCCCGUGAGGGGAUUGAAACUACUUUUCUUGAGUGCAGGAGAGGAAAGCGGAAUUCCUAGUGUAGCGGUGAAAUGCGUAGAUAUUAGGAGGAACACCAGUGGCGAAGGCGGCUUUCUGGACUGUAACUGACACUGAGGCUCGAAAGCGUGGGGAGCGAACAGGAUUAGAUACCCUGGUAGUUCACGCCGUAAACGAUGGAUACUAGGUGUAGGAGGUAUCGACCCCUUCUGUGCCGGAGUUAACGCAAUAAGUAUCCCGCCUGGGGAGUACGGUCGCAAGACUGAAACUCAAAGGAAUUGAUGGGGGCCCGCACAAGCGGUGGAGUAUGUGGUUUAAUUCGACGCAACGCGAAGAACCUUACCAGGGCUUGACAUUGAUUGAAACUUCCAGAGAUGGAAGCCUCCCUUCGGGGACAAGAAAACAGGUGGUGCAUGGCUGUCGUCAGCUCGUGUCGUGAGAUGUUGGGUUAAGUCCCGCAACGAGCGCAACACCUGUCCUGUGUUGCCAGCACUUUUGGUGGGAACUCACAGGAGACUGCCGCGGAGAACGCGGAGGAAGGCGGGGAUGACGUCAAGUCAUCAUGCCCCUUAUGACCUGGGCUACACACGUACUACAAUGGGAUGUACAGAGGGCAGCGAAGGAGCGAUCCGGAGCGAAUCCCAGAAAACAUCUCCCAGUUCGGAUUGCAGGCUGCAACUCGCCUGCAUGAAGUCGGAAUCGCUAGUAAUCGCAGGUCAGCAUACUGCGGUGAAUACGUUCCCGGGCAUUGCACUCACCGCCCGU